This is a long non-coding RNA of Pteropus alecto (black flying fox), 311 nucleotides long. RefSeq lists it as uncharacterized. The record is from RefSeq and is a predicted model, not a curated record. The transcript has 3 exons. NCBI's taxonomy places the organism in Eukaryota, Metazoa, Chordata, Mammalia, Chiroptera, Pteropodidae.
UGGAGCAACGAGCGGCUGCUCGUGAGUCUGUGGUUCGCACACCGGGGCGCUCACCCUCGCCGCGCGAACACUCGACGAGGGUGGGGAUAAUUGAAGAUAAGAAAGAAAACACAACCAACCAUGAGUGAAAAACUGCAAGGCUGAAGGAGAGAAAGAAAUGGGACACCAAGCAACAGGAGGCUGUGAGUGUCGAUAUAGUUGUGAUGCAGAACCAAGAGACUCACAAUGUUCGCAGCUGAUGGAAUGCUUUUCAAAACUUUUGGACAAACCUUUUUCAUUCAUUGAGAAAUCAGAGGAACACUGUCCCUAAC